RNAcentral lists this transfer RNA (73 nucleotides) under Thermoanaerobaculum aquaticum. It matches the Rfam family "tRNA". From Rfam's summary of the family: Transfer RNA (tRNA) molecules are approximately 80 nucleotides in length. Their secondary structure includes four short double-helical elements and three loops (D, anti-codon, and T loops). Further hydrogen bonds mediate the characteristic L-shaped molecular structure. tRNAs have two regions of fundamental functional importance: the anti-codon, which is responsible for specific mRNA codon recognition, and the 3' end, to which the tRNAs corresponding amino acid is attached (by aminoacyl-tRNA synthetases). tRNAs cope with the degeneracy of the genetic code in two manners: having more than one tRNA (with a specific anti-codon) for a particular amino acid; and 'wobble' base-pairing, i.e. permitting non-standard base-pairing at the 3rd anti-codon position. Lineage: Bacteria; Pseudomonadati; Acidobacteriota; Thermoanaerobaculia; Thermoanaerobaculales; Thermoanaerobaculaceae. The record is from Rfam by way of RNAcentral. RNAcentral also lists the same sequence under 1 other name.
GCCCAGGUAGCUCAGUCGGUAGAGCGAGGGACUGAAAAUCCCUGCGUCGGCGGUUCGAUUCCGUCCCUGGGCA